AUGUUCUUCUUGGACAAGCUCAUGUGCAGUUGGGACUGUUCACACAAGUUUCCUACUGUGUUGUCUUCCAGGGAGGAUGGAGAGCAGGAUGGAGAGCAGGAUGGAGAGGUUGGGGAGAUGGAGGGGUGCUCCCAGAUUGAGCCCCACUCACCCCCACCAGUCAUGGACCUGGACAAGCAAGAUGCUGAAUUGCAGAUGGAGGUGUUGGAGCUGUGUGGUGCUCCUUGUCCCAGCCCAAGCCCACAGAGGGAGCAGCUGUUCAGCCACUUAUCUCCACUCCCCUCUCUGAGGGACCUGCAGGAGGAGCCCUCUCUGAACUGUCGUAGCCCAGGCCGCUGUCCCACCUCUCCCCCUGCCCAGCUCCACCCCUCCCCCCGGCCCUGCGGCAGCCCCACAUCCUCCUUAGCAGAGCCUCAUAUCCUGGGUUCUGGCUUCUACCAGCUGCAGCUGGGGCCCUUCCUUCCAGACGGCCUGUCCAUGGGGCCAGAGUGUGGGGCCUCUCAGAGGCUGCAGGUGGACUUCUCCCUGCCCUCCGUCCCCCAGCCCCCACCCUUGCCUGCCAUUGCCCCAUCCUCCUCCGUCACUUCUGACUUUGGGGCUAUCAGCAGUUACCUGUGUCCCUCGGCCCUGUGCCCCCCUCCCGUCCAGCACUCCCGCUCUCUCACCCAGUGAGGGGAGGAAGAAGGGUGUCUUUACCCUGGAGAACAUUCCAAUAAUGCCUGGGUUGUUUGUACUUCUAAGUACUGCCAGUUGAAGCUAACUUGGACCAGAGGUCAUCCAUGUGAUGGUGUGAAGCUCCCCAGGAGAGAAACUGUCUUUUUGCGUGGGAGAUAGGCCUACCUGUAUCAGAGUGUUUACUAGGGGACUCCCACUGCUCACAAGCACAAUGGCUUACCUACCUGUCUAUUCUGGAAGGGCAGUAGUUCUACCGAGACGUUCCCAGUUCUUAGAGAAUUCUUAGAUGUAAUGUUGGGACUGGAAAAGCUGGUGGGCUCGUUGAUGGCUCCAAGGCCAAAACAUUUAGCCUGAUGUUUGUUGCAGUGGCCUCGUCCAGAGCAGAACUAGAGACUGUGAUUUAACCUCCCUCACUGAUUUCCCAACGUUUACUGGGAACAGUGAGCAGCAGACAGACAGCAUGACCUGGAGUCCUUGAUGCUGUAUUAUAGCAGAUGUCCACAAGAGAUGUUCUCCCUCUGUAUCAGUUCUGAUAAGGCUGUUUUUACAAGCAGGGUUCAGUCUGCACUUGUAUGACUUAUCGCAACUCUGACUGUGGACCUCUUAGGUAGGAUCUGCCUCCCUGGUUCACUGUGAGAGCUUCCACCUCUCUUGAACAUCUGAAACUGAAGGUUUUGUAUACAGUACGUUUAAGAGGAAAGAUCUGUAUAGGAAUACCAUGAAACUAUGCUUUUGAGAUUGUCACAAUGUUUUUAUUUUAUUGUUCUUUGUUCCCAGUUGUUCAGGUAUUCAUUGGCAGGUUUGCAAUAAGGAACCUGCGUUUGUGAUGGGAGUCCUUGUGUUCUCUCUUUCCAGUUUAUGUUGACGUUUAAAGGUCUUGUACAGUACCAAACUCCCACAAUUGCCUGACAACCACGGUAGGCACGUUAGCCUGUGUUUUGCGCAUUAUUGUACAUGCUACUGUAGGUAAGUCACUGAAUACACAGGUACUGUAGCCUCUGGCUUCUUCCCUGUCUCUCAACUCCAGUUUUUGUGUGAUUUAAGGUUUGAAUAUUGCCCUUAACCACCCAUCCGACCUUGUGGAUAACCGUCAUUGAAAAAGCCCAAAGGCAUUGAAGGACAUCGACCCAAAGGGGGUGUGUUCAGAAGGGUGAAACGUUAUGAACAUUGCAGAUGGAGAAUGUGAUAUACAGAGCUAACACGCUUGCUUAUUCUGUACCGUUGCACCCUCCUGAACAGACCCCAGGUUUCACUGAUGCUGUACUGUAUUCUGCCACUAGAGGACCUUGGCUGUCGCCUAGUCUGAAGAGAGCCUAGCCUGCCUGCCUGCUUUGUUCCCCCUGCUCAGGGGGAGAGAAUCUGUCCCCUAUGCUCUCUGUCCCGACGGCAGGAAAACUCCAUUUCUUUAUUUAUUCCCCAUUUUCAAUUUUUAUAGGUGGGGUUUUCCCUCUACUCCCUGCUCUGACCUGAGCUGUUCUAGAUCUGUUUGUUUUUGUUCAACCGUUUACAGGAGAUUCUGGACGUUGACUAUCGGGACAGGAAGGGGAGUAGAAACACUGCCUUUUGUUUAUUCUUUUUUUUAGCAUUUAUAUCGUACUGCUUCUGUUUAUAUUGGUUUGUAAUUAUAAUAUUUUGUAAAAAAAAGUACAAACAAAAUAUAUAAAAAAUGUUGACAAUUAAUGAAAGUCAUUGCACACAUACACACACCAGCACUUGAAUCUUAGUCUUGUGUGCAAAUCUGUUUAGUACUUCAAUUCAAUUUCCAACAACAUUAUACCCACAUGAAUCUCUUGUGGACAGACUAUGUAUCUGACCGAAUUAUGCAAGAUUUUAAUUCUGGGCUAACCAAGAUUGUACCAAAAUGUUUUUACAUAUCCUGUGAUUGGGUGGUGCCAGUAUAGUAGCUGAAUAACCCACGGCACUGUGGAGAUCUGUAGUUAUUCAGAAACUUGGUUAACCCAGAAUUCACACUGAAUAACCCAGUAGCUGAAUAACACAUACCCAAACAAAUCUCCACAGUACUCAUGUAAUGGCCUUACACUAUGCCUACAGUAUAACCAGGCUUCAAAUUCAACUGCAUAUUCUGUACAUUUCUGCAUUACAUUAUUUUGAAUCAGGGUCUGGUUUAUUUGAACUGAUGCAACAGAGAGCAAGAAAUUACAGGCUUACUUCCUCAAAGGUAAACUCAUGAAUUAUUCUUAAUUCCUUGGAAAGUGACUAAGUGACUGACAGGUGAACACUAGCAAGGAGUGAUAACCAUUCAUUAGGAAAUACGGGAGGGAUAUGGCAUCCACUAAUUGCCAUACAUUGUUUUUCUAAUGUGAUCUGUGAUCUGCAACUUUAUAAACAAGAUAGUGAGCUUGGCAUGUGUAUGCUACUGGCCCACUGUCUGAGAGGCUACUACAGGAUACUGUCAUAACUGUGUGUGUGUGGGGGGGGGGGGGGGGGGCGGACUGU
RNAcentral lists this long non-coding RNA (3132 nucleotides) under Salmo trutta (river trout). RNAcentral describes it as "lncRNA (ENSSTUG00000032749.1)". The record is from RNAcentral. Lineage: Eukaryota; Metazoa; Chordata; Actinopteri; Salmoniformes; Salmonidae.